RNAcentral lists this unclassified non-coding RNA (19 nucleotides) under Dictyostelium discoideum. Lineage: Eukaryota; Evosea; Eumycetozoa; Dictyosteliales; Dictyosteliaceae. The record is from RNAcentral.
GCCUGGAUGGCUCAGUAGG